CCUUGUGCCAGCAGCCGCGGUAAUACGAAGGGGGCAAGCGUUGUUCGGAAUUACUGGGCGUAAAGCGCGCGUAGGCGGCUUGUCAAGUCAGAUGUGAAAGCCCAGGGCUCAACCCUGGAACCGCAUUUGAUACUGGCUCGCUUGAGUAUGAGAGAGGUAAGCAGAAUUCCCAGUGUAGAGGUGAAAUUCGUAGAUAUUGGGAGGAAUACCGGUUGCGAAGGCGGCUUACUGGCUCAUUACUGACGCUGAGGCGCGAAAGCGUGGGGAGCAAACAGGAUUAGAUACCCUGGUAGUCCACGCCGUAAACGAUGUGCACUAGUUGUCGGGCAGUAUACUGUUCGGUGACCAAGCUAACGCAUUAAGUGCACCGCCUGGGGAGUACGGCCGCAAGGUAAAAACUCAAAGGAAUUGACGGGGACCCGCACAAGCGGUGGAGCAUGUUGCUUAAUUCGAUGAUACGCGAGAAACCUCACCUGCUCUUGACAUAUAUGUUGUGAUUUCUGGAAACAGAUUUCUUUGGUUCGCCCAGGCAUAUACAGGUGUUGCAUGGCCGUCGUCAGCNCGUGUCGUGAGAUGUUUGGUUAAGUCCAGCAACGAGCGCAACCCCUAUUGCUAGUUGCCAGCAUUUAGUUGGGGACUCUAGCGAUACUGCCGGUGAUAAGCCGGAGGAAGGUGGGGAUGACGUCAGGUCAUCAUGGCCCUUACGAGCAGGGCUGCAAACGUGCUACAAUGGUAAUGACAGAGGGCAGCGACACAGCAAUGUGGAGCGAAUCCCUAAAAGUUAUCUCAGUUCGGAUUGGGGGCUGCAACUCGCCCCCAUGAAGUCGGAAUCGCUAGUAAUCGUGGAUCAGAACGCCACGGUGAAUACGUUCCCGGGUCUUGUACACACCGCCCGUCAAGGGCGAAUU
This 908-nucleotide ribosomal RNA is filed under the name uncultured bacterium. RNAcentral describes it as "bacterial SSU rRNA". It matches the Rfam family "Bacterial small subunit ribosomal RNA", at positions 501 to 1409 of the family's 1533-position model. The record is from RNAcentral.